GACGAAGGGGGCUAGCGUUGUUCGGAAUUACUGGGCGUAAAGGGCGCGUAGGCGGCCCGCUAAGUCGAACGUGAAAUCCCCGAGCUCAACUCGGGAACUGCGUCCGAUACUGGCGGGCUUGAAUCCGGGAGAGGGAUGCGGAAUUCCAGGUGUAGCGGUGAAAUGCGUAGAUAUCUGGAGGAACACCGGUGGCGAAGGCGGCAUCCUGGACCGGCAUUGACGCUGAGGCGCGAAAGCUAGGGGAGCAAACGGG
RNAcentral lists this ribosomal RNA (253 nucleotides) under uncultured bacterium. Its description in RNAcentral is "partial 16S ribosomal RNA". It matches the Rfam family "Bacterial small subunit ribosomal RNA", at positions 524 to 776 of the family's 1533-position model. The record is from RNAcentral.